CAAGGAAUUUUCCCCAAUGGGCGCAAGCCUGAGGGAGCAACGCCGCGUGCGGGACGACGGCCUUCGGGUUGUAAACCGCUUUUGGUGGGGACGAUGGUGACGGUACCCGCCGAAUCAGCCCCGGCUAACUCUGUGCCAGCAGCCGCGGUAAGACAGAGGGGGCAAGCGUUGUCCGGACUGACUGGGCGUAAAGCGCGCGCAGGCGGCGUCGGGCGUCGGUGCUGAAAGUCCACCGCUUAACGGUGGGAAGCGUGCCGAUACGCCGGCGCUGGAGGGUGGGCGAGGGUGGUGGAAUUGCCGGUGUAGUGGUGAAAUGCGUAGAGAUCGGCAGGAACACCCGUGGCGCAAGCGGCCACCUAGCCCAAUCCUGACGCUGAGGCGCGACAGCGUGGGGAGCGAACGG
RNAcentral lists this ribosomal RNA (403 nucleotides) under uncultured bacterium. RNAcentral's name for it is "bacterial SSU rRNA". It matches the Rfam family "Bacterial small subunit ribosomal RNA", at positions 355 to 775 of the family's 1533-position model. The record is from RNAcentral.